CCACUGUUCCGUUUCGAGCUCUUUAUCGGUUCUUGCGCGCGAGCGCUCGCGUUUUCGGCCGAAAAACGGCGUCCGCGGGGAAACCGGCGAGUGGAAGAGGACUAACGCUGUUCGUUCACAAACAAUGAACACUUGUCAGAAAUAAGCGGCUGCCUGAACGUCGGCGGACGACGACCCGCACUGAAAUUCCUGGACAGGAGAGACGGAGAGAGAGAGAGAGGAGGGAGAGGCGAGAGCUGCGGCUGACAGGUGCCGUUACUCGGCUCGGUUCAAACUGAGCCAAGAUGCCGCCGGUCCAGAGAACCGUUUCAGACCUCCGCUCCCGCGCUGAAGGGUAUGAAAAGACAGAAGAUGCAUCAGAGAAGACCUCCCUAGCUGAUCAGGAGGAUGCUCGCCUAAUAUUCAUCAAUCAGCCCCAAUUUACCAAAUUCUGCAGCAAUCGUGUCAGCACAGCAAAGUACAACGUGCUGACCUUCCUGCCACGGUUCCUGUACUCUCAGUUCAGAAGAGCAGCCAACUCCUUCUUCCUGUUCAUUGCCCUGCUGCAGCAAAUUCCAGAUGUCUCUCCAACUGGGCGAUGGACCACGCUUGUGCCCCUGCUCUUCAUCCUUGUGGUGGCGGCAGUGAAGGAGGUGAUAGAGGACCUGAAACGUCACAAAGCUGACAGUGUUGUCAACAAGAAAGAGACGCAAGUGCUGAGGAAUGGAGCCUGGGAGAUAGUUCACUGGGAGAAGGUGGCAGUAGGGGAGGUAGUCCGAGCCUCCAACGGAGAUCACCUCCCGGCCGACCUCAUCAUAUUGUCCUCCAGUGAACCUCAGGGAAUGUGCUACAUAGAAACCUCAAACCUGGAUGGAGAAACAAAUUUAAAAAUCAGACAAGGUCUGCAGAUCACUUCUGAGAUAAAAGACAUUGACAGCUUGAUGCGUCUGUCUGGCCGUAUGGAAUGUGAGAGUCCCAACAGACACCUGUAUGAGUUUGUGGGCAAUAUCCGAAUGGAUGGACACAGCACAGUACCACUGGGUCCAGAUCAGAUCCUACUGAGAGGAGCACAGCUGAGGAACACACAGUGGGUGCAUGGCAUUGUGGUCUACACAGGACACGACACUAAGCUCAUGCAGAACUCCACACGGCCUCCUCUGAAGCUGUCCAACGUGGAGCGCAUCACUAACUUUCAGAUCCUGGUGCUCUUCGGCUGCCUGCUGGCCAUCUCUUUGGUGUGCUCCAUCGGUCAGACCAUCUGGAAGUACCAGUACGGCAAUGAUGCCUGGUACAUGGACCUCAACUACGGUGGAGCGGCCAACUUCGGCCUGAACUUCCUCACCUUCAUCAUCCUCUUCAACAACUUGAUUCCCAUCAGUCUGCUGGUGACGCUGGAGGUGAUCAAGUUCAUCCAGGCUUACUUCAUCAACUGGGACACUGACAUGAUCUAUGAAGCUACCAACACUCCAGCCAUGGCUCGAACCUCCAACCUGAAUGAAGAGCUGGGCCAGGUCAAAUACAUCUUUUCAGACAAAACAGGAACUUUGACCUGCAAUGUGAUGCAGUUUAAGAAGUGCACUGUAGCCGGCGUGGCCUACGGUCACACAUGCGAAGUGGAGGAUGGUAGUUUUGCAGAAGAGGACGGUCACAGCUCUCACUCGAUGGAGGAGGCAGGAUUUAAUGACCCCAGCCUACUGGAAAACCUCCAAAGCAAUCAUCCCACCGCCCCAGUGAUCAUGGACUUUAUGACCAUGAUGGCGAUCUGUCACACGGCCGUGCCUGAACGCAGCGAGGACACCAUCACCUAUCAGGCUGCUUCUCCAGAUGAAGGUGCUCUGGUCCGUGCAGCCCAGAACCUGGGCUUUGUUUUCUCGGCCAGGACCCCGGACAGCGUCAUUGUGGAGUCUCUUGGUGAAGAGGAGAAAUAUGAACUGCUGCAUGUCCUGGAGUUCACCAGUGCCAGGAAGAGGAUGUCAGUCAUCAUGCGGACUCCAUCCGGAAAGAUCCGCCUCUACUGCAAAGGAGCCGACACUGUGAUCUACGACCGCCUGGCAGACAAUUCCAGAUACAAGGAUAUCACACUCAAACAUCUGGAGCAGUUUGCUACGGAGGGUUUGCGUACACUGUGCUUUGCGGUAGCGGACAUAUCAGAGUCAUUGUAUCAGCAGUGGCUGGAGGUACAUCAUCGAGCCUGCACCUCUCUACAAAACAGAGCUCUCAAACUGGAGGAGAGUUAUGAACUCAUUGAGAAGAACCUACAACUCUUGGGAGCCACAGCGAUUGAGGACAAGCUGCAGGAUCGCGUACCUGAGACCAUUGAGACCCUGAUGAAAGCAGACAUCAAAAUCUGGAUCCUGACAGGGGACAAACAAGAGACGGCCAUCAAUAUCGGACACUCCUGCAAGCUGCUCACCAAGAACAUGGGUCUGCUGGUGAUUAAUGAGGAGACGCUGGAUGGGACAAGAGAGACUCUGAGCCACCACUGCGGCAUGCUGGGAGAUGCUCUGCAUAAGGAGAACGACUUUGCGCUGAUCAUUGAUGGGAAGACGCUGAAGUACGCACUGACCUUUGGAGCACGCCAGUACUUCCUGGACCUGGCAUUGUCCUGCAAGGCCGUCAUAUGUUGCAGGGUCUCUCCUCUGCAGAAGUCUGAGGUGGUGGAGAUGGUGAAGAAGCAGGUGAAGGUCAUCACUCUGGCCAUCGGCGAUGGAGCCAACGAUGUAGGCAUGAUCCAAACUGCUCACGUGGGUGUUGGCAUCUCAGGCAACGAGGGACUGCAGGCUGCCAACUCUUCAGACUACUCUAUUGCACAGUUCAAGUAUUUAAAGAACCUCCUGCUGGUCCAUGGAGCCUGGAACUAUAACCGUGUCGCUAAAUGCAUCCUCUACUGCUUCUACAAGAACAUUGUGUUGUACAUCAUUGAGAUUUGGUUUGCCUUUGUGAACGGCUUCUCUGGUCAGAUCCUGUUUGAGCGCUGGUGUAUCGGCCUGUAUAACGUGAUCUUUACAGCUCUACCCCCGCUGACACUGGGCAUUUUUGAACGCUCCUGCAGGAAAGAAAACAUGUUAAAAUACCCAGAACUGUACAAAACCUCCCAGAAUGCCAUGGGGUUCAACACAAAGGUUUUUUGGGCUCAUUGUCUGAACGGACUCUUUCACUCAGUCAUCCUCUUCUGGUUCCCCCUGAAAGCCUUCCAGCAUGACACGGUCUUUGGAAACGGAAAGACUCCAGACUAUCUACUGCUGGGGAACAUGGUGUACACAUUCGUAGUGAUCACUGUGUGUCUGAAGGCAGGGUUGGAGACUUCUUCCUGGACCAUGUUCAGUCAUAUAGCCAUCUGGGGCAGCAUUGGAUUGUGGGUAGUGUUCUUUGGCAUCUAUUCCUCUCUAUGGCCUCUCAUCCCUCUGGCUCCGGAUAUGUCAGGAGAGGCAGAUAUGAUGUUCAACUCUGGAGUGUUCUGGAUGGGGCUAUUCUUCAUUCCUGUCACCUCUCUGGUGUUUGACGUGGCCUACAAAGUCAUUAAGAAGGCUUGCUUUAAGACACUGGUGGAUGAGGUCCAGGAACUGGAGGCUCUGUCUAAGGAUCCUGGAGCUGUGGUUCAUGGAAAGAGUUUGACAGAGAGGGCCCAGCUGCUGAAGAACGUGUUCAAGAAGAGCACAGUCAGCCUGUACCGCUCCGACUCCAUGCAGCAGAAUCUACUCCGUGGGGAUGGGAGGCGCUCAGUCAUAGUCUGAUUAUGCCAUACACACUUUAACCCUGAAACCACCUCAAAAUCCAUCACAGUUGCUGUUUUUUUCUGAUUUAUAUGUAACAAAAACCUAUCCCAGUGUUACUGACCCACACCUUAACCUAAUACAUAAUGCCCUAUAUCCCGCAGCUUCGCCCUUUCCCCACUGCAUGGAUGUAUGUGUGUGUGUGUGUGUGUGUGUGUGUUUAAGUGUGUGUUUGUGUGAGUAUUUUGCUGUGCAGCUCUGUUGCCUGAAAGCCAGAGUCACGUCUAACCAUUUACAUGUUCCAUUGUCGCUCCCACUGUGCGCCGCUCUCCUCUGCCCCUUGCAUGCGCCCCUUCUCAGGCCAGCAGGUAGAGGCCGAGUCAGUUGAGACGUAAAGACGGCUACGCCUUCUCCCAGGAUGAGAACGGAGUGGUCUCCCAAUCGGAGGUCAUCAGGGCCUACGACACCACCAAGCAGCGGACCAAUGAGUGGUGAGAUCCGGCCUCCCCCCAGGCCCGGUCCCCCUGAGCCUCAGCAAUCUCAGUCAGUCUACCUUUUGAAACUGGCAAAAGCUGAAGUCUGUCAGUUUGUCUUUCUCCAGCUCAGAGUUGCCUGGCUGGAACUACAGCAAAGAAACAAAAGAGAGAGAAAAGUAGAGAGAGAGCUUUACUUCGAAAGGGAAACAAAAAAGUAAGGAACAGUAAUUAGGAUUUGAAGAUUUGUAGAUUUCGAAGCAGUCACACUGGAGCAGUAGUGUCCAGCCUGGGUUUGAGGGGGUUUAGGCUGGACUGCAGUUUUUGCCCGGCUCUGUUAUCAACCCUAUAAAACAGAGGGACACUGAGAAGCAGUACUAUGAAUUCUUUCUCCUCUGACAUCCUUCAAACUUUUACUGUUAAAGCCAAAAAUACAGUGGUGGUGGUGGUGGUGGUGGUAAUGGUGAUGGUAAUAAUGAUGUAGACCCUUUGUGGUUGUGGUCUUUGAUUGUGUCCCCCCUAAUCAGUGAUUGUGUAUGAAACUCUCUGAAUAAUAGUAUUGCUCAGUAAUCCCUGAUUGUGUAGCAACAGCAGUACUGAAGAUCUUGUGGAAACGGAAUUCGCCAAAGAACACCGUAAGGAACACAAUCACUGUUAAAAAGGAAAUGUUGAAGACGUGUUUAGAAAUGUCAGUAUUAAGCAGAUGUAUUACAUUUUUCCUAAAGAAUCUCCCCUCUGCACUGAUUUGGCCACUGCAGACCUUAAAAUGUUACAGAUUUGUGUUUUGUUUAUGAUGUUUGUUGCUGUUUCUUUGUAUUUAUUUUCUCUUUUUUAGUUUUUUGUUUUUUUUUUCUUUGCAUGCUCUUAAUUUCUUUUCCUGCCUUCAGAUACUGGUUUUAAUUUAAUUUAUUAUUUUUUUAAAUUGUUAAAUAGUUAGUUGUUAAUUGUGCCUGAUUUUUUUUUAGGCCAUUGGGUUCGUGCCAUUUGUAAGACAUGUGUAUAUCUUUUGAUAGCCCUUCAACCAGUUUCUGCAUUCCUCAUCAUACACCGCUGCAACGAUCACAAUGGUGCCUAAUAGGAACUUUUUUUUCUUUUCUUCCCCGUUAGAGAGUGUACAUCAGAUAUUUUAGCUAGGCAGGAUUAGUCCGCUAACACACAAGGAGCUACAAGCUGUCGUCGUCUCUGCAGUGCCUGGCUGCUUCGUUUGAGCUCUGUGUGGACUCUCUGUUGUGGCAGCCAGUUCUGUUUGCUUUGUUAGGAAGUCUUUUAGAUGUUGCAGAUGGUUGGCUUCUAGUAAUUCUCUUAGAGAAGGAUAGACAGAGUUGAUCCCUCAAAACUGAAGUGCCAUUAGCUUGGGGGAGGAAGAGAAGGGGUUAGCCUGGAGGUCCACCCAGUAUCAAAAUGACUUUGUCUCCAUAGUUAUUUUGUGAAUUUGUAUUUUUAUAUUGGACAAGUACAACUUUUUGGAUUGAUCUGCUUUGUAUAUGAGACGUUGUGUCGUUCUUCUUAUUUUGUCGUCUAUCUUCAGAAAGUUGAUGGUGGAGAAUGAGCCUCAAUCUUAACCCGUGACUAAAAAACACUCGUCUUGUUGACUAAAUGAAGGCUUAUUUAAUUUAUUGUCUAGUAUUUUUUUGUUUUUCUUUUUUUUGUGCGCUGGUUCUCUUCUCCCUGUGGGAGAGCAGGUUUUUGUACGUUGUGUGUGCAUUGUGUGUGUUGUCUGCAUGUGCAUGUGAUGAGUGUAUGCUGGACUGGAUGUGAGAGUGUGAGUGUGUGUGAAUGUGUCUUAAGUGUGUGUACCUGUUCUGUAGCAUGUGUGUGUGUUAACUUGCCCACUGGGUGACUAACUGCUAUUUCCUCAGGCGGACUUCUGGAAUCCUUUGUGUGUGGGACUGAAGAAUGGAUGAGUGUGUGUGUGUGUGUGUGUGUGUGUGUGUGUGUGUGAGAUCCCCAUGUCUUUGUCUUUGUGGGUGUAAUGCUGCUCGCUCCUCGUCUGCAUGACUCCAGGUUAUAAUCACAGUGAGCUAUGAUGCUGCAUGGCCCUGUACAUGUAGAGAGUGUUUGUGCUGGAGUGUGGGAGUGUGAAAGUGUGUUUGUGUGUGUGUGUGCGUGUCUGUAGUCCUUCAGCCUGUACUGGGCAGAAGAGUCUUGUUGGUAACACUGAGCUAAAGCUUGACAGAUAACGUUGCACAUUGCACUGUUAAUCUCUCCAGUGGUGGCGUGUCUUUCUGAACUGGAUUGUUUGUUUCCAGUAUUAUUUAUCUACUGGUACACUUGUGUUAAAAUCUCAUACGGUGUACCUCGGCUCGGAACAGGAAUCACCACGUUUUUCUUUUUCUGUUGUUUUUAUUUCUCAGCUUGUGUAAAGUACAACAUCAGUGCAUCUGUCUCUAACCUCUGCUUUCAGUGGGUUGUUUCUGUUCUGAAUGUUCGCUGUCGUUGGUCGUUGUCGGCUCUUGCUGAAUUGAACUCUGGAUGUUAUUUUCUGACGUGCCGCAGUGAAAGAGUUGGACCGUUGCUUUAGCGAACUGUCGUCUGUGGAAGUGGUUGACUGCAUGAAUGGUUUAAAUGUUAGUCGUACAUGGAUUUUUCUUUAGUACCGGACACUUUAAAGAAGAAAUUGCACUUUUUUUAAUUUGUGUUAACUUUUUUCUUUGUUCUUCUUUUCUGUCUUCAUCGUUUAAUGAUUGUUCAGCAUGUUGGGACUGCAAA
Molecule: RNA transcript, 6874 nt
Organism: Astyanax mexicanus (Mexican tetra)
Lineage: Eukaryota; Metazoa; Chordata; Actinopteri; Characiformes; Acestrorhamphidae
Gene: atp8a1
Gene name: ATPase phospholipid transporting 8A1
Exons: 38
Source: RefSeq, a predicted model, not a curated record